CCCUUAGAUGUUCUGGGCUGCACGCGUGUUACAAUCGGGAGUACAACAAGAUUGCAAAUCCUAGUGGAUGAGUGGUUCUUCGAAAUUUUCUGAAGACUGGGAUAGUUGAUUGAAAUUAUUCAACCCAAACGAGGAAUUCCUUGUAAUUGUAAUUCAUUAUAUUGUAAUGAAUACGUCCCUGCCCUUUGUACACACCGCCCGUCGCUCCUACCGAUUGAACGAUCCGGUGAAUUAUUUGGAGUAGCUCUGGAAGUUGCAGAACUUCCUAUGUCACGAAAUUUUGUAAACCUUAUCGUUUAGAGGAAGGAAAAGUCGUAACA
Molecule: ribosomal RNA, 320 nt
Filed under: uncultured eukaryote
Lineage: Eukaryota
Description: partial 18S ribosomal RNA
Rfam family: Eukaryotic small subunit ribosomal RNA
Source: RNAcentral